Molecule: small RNA, 1442 nt
Filed under: Drosophila pseudoobscura pseudoobscura
Lineage: Eukaryota; Metazoa; Arthropoda; Insecta; Diptera; Drosophilidae
Description: GA32912
Source: RNAcentral
CCACAAAAACAAAAAAAAAAAAGAGUGGAAGGCUAUAAACAGUUGUCUAAUCUUAGAUCGUUUGAUAGAAGUUUGUUAACCUAAACGGUGACCGGGGUGCCUACAAGGCCGCGGAUUUACCUCAAGGAGAGAAUAGGAAUGGACGGAGGUGGAGGAGGUGGCAAUGAAAGCGGUAGAUUUAUCCGUCCUCUCCGUCCUGAGCAGCGCCAGUUCGGACGAGAGGAUGGCAGUGAUCAGUGUGAUGAUAAUUCUGACCAUGAUCAGUGUCGGAGAUAGAAAGACUACAAGCGCCACAAUAACCUAAACAAAAAUGGUCAUGACCUUUACCGAAUUCGAAGCACAACCGACGAAAGCAGCACGUUACUGGACUGCAAGUCCAGUAACCAGUAAGCUGGCUACAAAUCUCCUAUGCCUAUACCUACUUGCAGCCAACCUCGUGGAUAUCAGCCACAGACCAGAAAUGGAAUAACCAGUGGAACAAAUCUUCCACAUAAAAGCAGAGAAGGUGAACGGGAAACCUGAAUGAGGGUCAGUUUGGUGGCAACAAUAUACAGGCUGGCAGUGAUGCCCUCAAAAUCAUCAUUAUCUUUGGCGUGACCAAGGGAAUCACCAAGUUUGAAAUCACGAGCGCAUUGUAAAGGGCUGAAUACACGUCAAACGGAACAGCGUCAAAGACUCGAUGAAUAUCCAUGGAAAUUAAUCAAAUAAAUCCGUCAAGCGGUAUAGCAUUUAUCGAAUUUACCACCGUUGAGGAAGUGAAACAAUGGAUGGAGUUAACACAGUUAUCAGCGCCAUAAGCAAGACAGUUUUGAAACCCAACCAGCAGUCGGCAGUGAUCAUGAAAUGUGUGUUUCCGGCUUAGUUAUCUCACAGUAUAAAAUCAUAAGAUUAUUGAUUGAAAAGAAGGUCUGAAGAGAAGUACCUACAAGGUCUAAGACAUGACACAUGACAGGUCUUGACACGCUCGUUGACUCGAUGGAGUUGCACAAUUCCUGUACAUCGCUGGAUCCACCUCUGACCCUAGAUGAACGUGCUGUAUCUAUCAGCUACAACAUCGAAGCUGACAUCAGCGAAAAAAUAACCGAGACGUCGCACCUUAUAACCUCUACUAUGUAUGUCCCCUGACAUCGGAGGCAUUCAGUGUGGAGGUAACCCGGGUGAGACUGCGUAUUACGUUCAGUACUACACGGACUACUUCACGGCGACGAUAGCCAAGAUCGAAAACAGUGGAGAUACCAAGUUAACUGAAGCGAACUCUGAAGCGGUAGCCCUCUCGGCUAUCCAACGUAAGCAGGAGAAAAAUAAAUUUAGUGAGUCGACGACUAGAGCUGCUCAGAAUGUGAGUAAUAGUUCCGCUCCUCUUGGUAGUCGCCGUCAAUCAGGUCGCAGUAGAGAUCCUAGUUCUGACUGCCGCCGGAAUGUCUAUUGUAAUGCGAGGAUCG